RNAcentral lists this non-coding RNA (171 nucleotides) under bovine gut metagenome. RNAcentral's name for it is "Lysine riboswitch". It matches the Rfam family "Lysine riboswitch aptamer". From Rfam's summary of the family: Riboswitches are metabolite binding domains within certain messenger RNAs that serve as precision sensors for their corresponding targets. Allosteric rearrangement of mRNA structure is mediated by ligand binding, and this results in modulation of gene expression. RNAcentral also lists the same sequence under 1 other name. The record is from RNAcentral.
GGGAUAGAGGUCGCGCCUGUUAUCAGUAUCUUAUCGGACAUGACUUGCAUGGAUGAUGUUAAGCGAAAGGAACCGGCGCCGAAAGGGCAGGAUCAAGUUAACUGCCGCUUGGGCAUAUAUCGAACAGGUAUAUGACUGUCAUUGCGACAUUGUCGAGAUGGGGAGCUAUCA